GGUAGCGUGGCCGAGCGGUCUAAGCGCUGGUUUAAGGCUCCAGAGGCGUGGGUUCGAAUCCCACCGCUGCCA
This is a non-coding RNA of Trichonephila clavipes, 72 nucleotides long. Lineage: Eukaryota; Metazoa; Arthropoda; Arachnida; Araneae; Nephilidae. The record is from the annotation of a GenBank genome assembly.